This 398-nucleotide long non-coding RNA is filed under the name Brassica rapa (field mustard). RNAcentral describes it as "long non-coding RNA (BRAP_LNC003673)". The record is from RNAcentral. Lineage: Eukaryota; Viridiplantae; Streptophyta; Magnoliopsida; Brassicales; Brassicaceae.
UAUGAUGCACCGGGACGGAUACGGGGACAGAAACGGGGACGGAAGCGGGAACGGGAAACGGUAAAAUUUAAAAAUUAUGGGUACGGGUACGGCAAAUAUAUAUUAGUAAAAAACAUAAAAUAUUUAUAAAAAAAACAAAUUUAUACAGCAAAUCUAACAUAAUUAAAUAUAAUUUACUAUAAUAUGUCUAUUUUGCCAACUAAAAUUAGAAGCAAGAUAAUAGUGACAGUUAAAAGACAAUUACACAAGCAUUAGGUCCCGUGAAAACUAGUCUUAUUCAUAACUAAGUUCUCUAACCGUCCCCAAGCCGUACCAGUGCUGUCCCCGUGAAGUACCCGUCCCCGAAACGUUUCCGGUACCGGUACGGCAUCUAAAUAGACGUCCCCGUGCUACACAGA